AGAGUUUGAUCCUGGCUCAGAACGAACGCUGGCGGCGUGCCUAACACAUGCAAGUCGUACGAGAAAAUCCGCUUCGGCGGGUGAGUAGAGUGGCGCACGGGUGAGUAACGCGUGGAUAAUCUGCCUUUAAGCUGGGAAUAACUCACCGAAAGGUGGGCUAAUACCCGAUAAUGCUAUGGGACUUCGGUUUUAUAGCCAAAGAGAGCCUCUACAUGUAAGCCUUCACUUAAAGAUGAGUCCGCGUACCAUUAGCUAGUUGGUAGGGUAAUGGCCUACCAAGGCGACGAUGGUUAGCUGGUCUGAGAGGAUGAUCAGCCACACUGGAACUGAGACACGGUCCAGACUCCUACGGGAGGCAGCAGUGAGGAAUAUUGCGCAAUGGGGGCAACCCUGACGCAGCAACGCCGCGUGAGUGAGGAAGGUCUUCGGAUCGUAAAGCUCUGUCGGGUGGGAAGAAGUGUGCAUAGGUUAAUAGCUUGUGCACUUGACGGUACCGCCAAAGGAAGCACCGGCUAACUCCGUGCCAGCAGCCGCGGUAAUACGGGGGGUGCGAGCGUUGUUCGGAAUCAUUGGGCGUAAAGAGCGUGUAGGCGGCUAGGCAAGUCAGAUGUGAAAUCCCUGGGCUUAACCCAGGAAGUGCAUUUGAAACUGCUUAGCUUGAGUAAGGAAGGGGGAAGUGGAAUUCCUGGUGUAGAGGUGAAAUUCGUAGAUAUCAGGAGGAACACCGGUGGCGAAGGCGACUUCCUGGUCCUAUACUGACGCUGAGACGCGAGAGCGUGGGGAGCAAACAGGAUUAGAUACCCUGGUAGUCCACGCCGUAAACGAUG
This 827-nucleotide ribosomal RNA is filed under the name uncultured bacterium. RNAcentral describes it as "bacterial SSU rRNA". It matches the Rfam family "Bacterial small subunit ribosomal RNA", at positions 8 to 811 of the family's 1533-position model. The record is from RNAcentral.